CCUACUUUUCUCCUCCUUUCUGCCUCUUGGUCCAUGGCCGCGCGUCUGCACCAGCCAAGUAGCGUGAAGGAUGACUGCCCUAUGGGUUGUAAACUUCUUUUAUAAAGGAAUAAAACGAGGCACGUGUGCCUUUUUGCAUGUACUUUAUGAAUAAGGAUCGGCUAACUCCGUGCCAGCAGCCGCGGUAAUACGGAGGAUCCGAGCGUUAUCCGGAUUUAUUGGGUUUAAAGGGAGCGUAGAUGGGUUGUUAAGUCAGUUGUGAAAGUUUGCGGCUCAACCGUAAAAUUGCAAUUGAUACUGGCAGUCUUGAGUACAGUUGAGGUAGGCGGAAUUCGUGGUGUAGCGGUGAAAUGCUUAGAUAUCACGAAGAACCCCGAUUGCGAAGGCAGCUUACUAAACUGUGACUGACAUUGAUGCUCGAAAGUGUGGGUAUCAAACAGGAUUAGAUACCCCAGUAGUC
RNAcentral lists this ribosomal RNA (460 nucleotides) under uncultured bacterium. RNAcentral describes it as "partial 16S ribosomal RNA". It matches the Rfam family "Bacterial small subunit ribosomal RNA", at positions 338 to 795 of the family's 1533-position model. The record is from RNAcentral.